UACGGAGGGUGCGAGCGUUGUCCGGAAUCACUGGGCGUAAAGGGCGCGUAGGCGGCCUGAUAAGUAGGGGGUGAAAUCCUGCGGCUUAACCGCAGGGCUGCCUUCUAAACUGUCAGGCUGGAGCACGGUAGAGGCAGAUGGAAUUCCCGGUGUAGCGGUGGAAUGCGUAGAGAUCGGGAAGAACAUCAGUGGCGAAGGCGGUCUGCUGGGCCGUUGCUGACGCUGAGGCGCGACAGCGUGGGGAGCAAACAGG
RNAcentral lists this ribosomal RNA (253 nucleotides) under uncultured bacterium. RNAcentral's name for it is "partial 16S ribosomal RNA". It matches the Rfam family "Bacterial small subunit ribosomal RNA", at positions 524 to 776 of the family's 1533-position model. The record is from RNAcentral.